This 719-nucleotide ribosomal RNA is filed under the name uncultured bacterium. Its description in RNAcentral is "bacterial SSU rRNA". It matches the Rfam family "Bacterial small subunit ribosomal RNA", at positions 761 to 1482 of the family's 1533-position model. The record is from RNAcentral.
GUGGGGAGCGAACAGGAUUAGAUACCCUGGUAGUCCACGCCGUAAACGGUGGGCGCUAGUUGUGCGAACCUUCCACGGUUUGUGCGACGCAGCUAACGCAUUAAGCGCCCCGCCUGGGGAGUACGAUCGCAAGAUUAAAACUCAAAGGAAUUGACGGGGCCCCGCACAAGCAGCGGAGCAUGCGGCUUAAUUCGACGCAACGCGAAGAACCUUACCAAGGCUUGACAUAUACAGGAAUAUGGCAGAGAUGUCAUAGCCGCAAGGUCUGUAUACAGGUGGUGCAUGGUUGUCGUCAGCUCGUGUCGUGAGAUGUUGGGUUAAGUCCCGCAACGAGCGCAACCCUCGUUCUGUGUUGCCAGCAUUUAGUUGGGGACUCACAGGAGACUGCCGGGGUUAACUCGGAGGAAGGUGGGGAUGACGUCAAAUCAUCAUGCCCCUUAUGUCUUGGGCUGCACGCAUGCUACAAUGGCUGGUACAAACGGCUGCGAUACCGCAAGGUGGAGCGAAUCCGAGAAAGCCAGUCUCAGUUCGGAUUGGGGUCUGCAACUCGACCCCAUGAAGUCGGAGUUGCUAGUAAUCGUAGAUCAGCAACGCUACGGUGAAUACGUUCCCGGGGCUUGUACACACCGCCCGUCACAUCACGAAAGUCGGUAACACCCAAAGUCAGUGGCCCAACCGCAAGGAGGGAGCUGCCAAAGGUGGGAUCGGUGAUUGGGAUG